AGAAAAUGGCAGCGCGGGGGCUGCGGCUGGGAGUGGGGAGGCUGUCUGAGGUGCCGGCGGCGCUGAGAGGCGUAGGCCGAGCGUCCAGCUCGUCUCAGGCCUUUGCUGAGGUGCUUCGGCUGCCGAGGAGACAGCUGACGAAGCUGGUGUACCCGCUGCAGGAGCUCGAGCAGUACCUUGCCCCGGACGCGAGGGCGGACUUGCGGCCGAGGAUCUUCCACCCGAGCCUGGAGGACAUCUCGAAGGCCGAGAGCUUCUUCGCGUCCGGCGCCCGGAACCGCGUCGAGUACGUCAGCUCGGCGGUGCGGCUGGACCACGCCCCUGACCUGCGGCGGCCGGAGGUGUGUUUUAUAGGCAGAAGCAAUGUGGGAAAAUCCUCCUUAAUAAAAGCAUUAUUUUCACUGGCCCCUGAGGUUGAAGUCAGAAUCUCCAAAAAACCGGGGCACACAAAGAAAAUGAAUUUUUUCAAAGUUGGAAAGUACUUUACCAUGGUCGACAUGCCAGGUUAUGGCUAUAGAGCACCGGAAGAUUUUGUUGAUAUGGUAGAGGCCUAUCUAAAAGAACGAAGGAACUUGAAGAGAACAUUUUUAUUAGUGGAUAGUGCUGUUGGAAUUACAAAAUUAGACAACAUUGCCAUAGAAAUGUGUGAAGAAUUUGCAUUGCCUUAUGUGAUGGUAUUAACAAAAAUUGACAAAUCCUCUAGGGGACAUCUUUUAAAACAAGUGCUUCAGAUCCAAAGAUUUGUCAACAUGCAAACCCAAGGAUGUUUUCCUCAGUUGUUUCCUGUAAGGUAAGCACUGCAUUGUUUUUGUAAUUCUAAAAUUAGUCUCCGAUAGAAAUUAUUUCCAAAAGCCCUCAUUUUACUAUUAAUCUGGAUCAGCGUUAAACUCUAAUGAGCAAAAUGCCUGCUGGAAUCCCACUUCUUCACUGCAGAAGGCCACCCGGCACUCAGAAUCUAUAAGUUGACACCUCCAAGAAUAUCACCAUUCCCCAUACCAGUGACUGAAAAAAAAAUUAUGUAUGUUACAUAUGUACACCUUGCUUUAACUUGCAUGGCCAAGUGCCAGGCCCUCCCCCAAGAAGGGAAUUUGUCCAAUCCAGAAAUGGUUAUUAUAAAAUGUCACAUUGUUUCCUUCUGUAUCCUUGUGGUAGGUGAAGGAUAAAGUGUGGCAAAAACAUUUAGUCCAGUCAACUUGGUCUGUUAGCCUAUAAGGCAAAAAUGCUCCUCUUCAUGUUCCCAGCAGGGAAAAAGGUAGAAAUGAUGAAAGGCCUUGAAAGACUGAUGUUAGAAUUAGUGAGUUUUAUAGAUGUUGUUACAGAAUUUCUUCUCUGACUUUCCCCUAUAUUGAGUCCAAGCAGAUGAGCAUGACUGUAAGGACAGAAAAUUCUGGAAACUGACAGAACUUCUGCAAAGGAGUUCGUGGUGCCGCAAUUAGGUGCUAUGACCCAUUCUGGAAUUCAUCUGUUGAAAUGCUUUAUAGCAAAUAUAACAGGGAACCUUGACCUAACAGUGCCUAGUUUAGCUGAAGAUUCAAAA
Molecule: RNA transcript, 1537 nt
Organism: Ochotona curzoniae (black-lipped pika)
Lineage: Eukaryota; Metazoa; Chordata; Mammalia; Lagomorpha; Ochotonidae
Gene: GTPBP8
Gene name: GTP binding protein 8 (putative)
Exons: 6
Source: RefSeq, a predicted model, not a curated record